UGUGUUUGUGCGUCACGAGGAGGGAUCAGCCAGAAAAAUAUUUGUUUUGGCUGUCCCAUAUCCUGCCUCAUAUGACGUGGAAGGUCCUUUUGAUGUGCAGGGCCUCACUAUGAAGAAUGCUGCUUGUUCCUGCUGGGAUGAGUGUCUAAGAAACCAAGAUGAAGAGCUAAGACAAGGCUAACGUCAUGAACAUUAGAAAGAGUGAAAAAAUAAUAAUUGCUUUCUGUGUUUAAGCCAGCCCAGCACAUCCUGGGUACCACCUCCUGGCGAAGGCAGAUAACGAUGAUAAAAUUCACCACUCCCUUCAAUGCACCAGCACAGCUUUUGGUCCACUGAGGAAAAGAGUGUUUGAAGAUCAAGACCUCACACUUGGCACAAAACUUCUGGUCCACUGAGCAGCAGUGAUCCAUGCCCUUGUGGACCAGCUAUAGCAGGGAUCUCAAGGCACUGAAAAAAGACCAUCAAUAUUUCUGAAAAAUUCUCCAAGUUCACUGGAAGAAUAAGCAAAUCAAUGUCGGCAUCCUCUACCAGGUCAAUGUCCCCAUUAUUGAGACUCUAGUUACUCUCAGUUGGUUACAGUUAGGCCAUGUCACACACAUGCCCAACACCGGACUCUGAAACAGACACUCUAUCCUGAGCUCAGUUAUGGGAGAAGAUUAAUAGGUGGACAGAAAACAGAUUCAAGGAUGUGCUCAAAGCUUCCAUGAAGACAUGCAACAUCCCUGGGAAUACCUGGCCCAUGACCAUUCAAAGUAGAGGAGGAGAAUUUGGGAUAGUAUUAAGAAUCUCAAGGUCAUGCAUUGGGUGCACACAGAAGCCAUGCAUGAGUGAUGAAAUGGGUGUACCAUCUCACAAACUAACCACCAUCAACCACCAACCCCAUCAGACGUCUCCUGCCCGUCUGUAGAAGAGUCUGGGGUUCCCACAUUGGCCUCAUCAGUCACCUCAGAACGCACAGAACCAGCGUGGAAGCAAGUCAUCCUCAAUCCCGGGGACUACAUAAGAAGAAGAGGCGCAGUUGUGUUAGUUCUGCAUUAAUGCUCAAUAAUAUUGUGUGUCAACCGAGCAGCCACUAACUUUUGCCCACAUAUCUAAAAUUGUGAUGCUUACAUUAACCUACUGACUUGGUGUUAAUGGUUCUUUCAUUAGUGAUAGAAUCCUAGAAUCUUACAGCACAGAAGGACACCUUUUGACCCAUUGUAUCUCUACCAGCCCUUCGAAAGGUUUACUCAGCUAGUUGUACUCUUUUUCUCUUUCCCCAUAGCCAUGCAACUUUUUUUCCUUUCUAAAAUUACUGUUACAUGUACUUUCUCUACCACAUCAGGCAGUAAAUUCCAGAUACAAACACCUUGUUGCUUAACUAAAGAGCUUUUGCUAGGCCCCAUUUGGCCAUUAUCUUAAUUCUCUGCCCAAGUUACUAACUAUCUGCCAGUGGAAAUAAUUUCUCCUUAUUUACUCCAUCUAUACCUUUCAUACCCUUGCAGAACGUCUCCCCUUAACCUUUCCUGUUCUUUGGUGAAGAACCCCAGAUUCUCCAGUCUCUCCACAUAACUGAAAUCCCUCAUCCUUGGUAUCAUUCUGGUGAAUCUCCUCAACACUCACUCAAGGCCUUGAUGUCCUUCCAAAAAUGUGGUGUCCAGAAUUGAAUACAGCAACCUA
Molecule: long non-coding RNA, 1659 nt
Organism: Pristis pectinata (smalltooth sawfish)
Lineage: Eukaryota; Metazoa; Chordata; Chondrichthyes; Rhinopristiformes; Pristidae
Exons: 3
Source: RefSeq, a predicted model, not a curated record